UGGGGAAUUUUGGACAAUGGGCGAAAGCCUGAUCCAGCAAUGCCGCGUGUGUGAAGAAGGCCUUCGGGUUGUAAAGCACUUUUGUCCGGAAAGAAAUCCUUGGCUCUAAUACAGUCGGGGGAUGACGGUACCGGAAGAAUAAGCACCGGCUAACUACGUGCCAGCAGCCGCGGUAAUACGUAGGGUGCAAGCGUUAAUCGGAAUUACUGGGCGUAAAGCGUGCGCAGGCGGUUUGCUAAGACCGAUGUGAAAUCCCCGGGCUCAACCUGGGAACUGCAUUGGUGACUGGCAGGCUAGAGUAUGGCAGAGGGGGGUAGAAUUCCACGUGUAGCAGUGAAAUGCGUAGAGAUGUGGAGGAAUACCGAUGGCGAAGGCAGCCCCCUGGGCCAAUACUGACGCUCAUGCACGAAAGCGUGGGGGAGCAAAACAGGAUUAGAUACCCUGGUAGUCCACGCCCUAAACGAUGUCAACUAGUUGUUGGGGAUUCAUUUCCUUAGUAACGUAGCUAACGCGUGAAGUUGACCGCCUGGGGAGUACGGUCG
This 542-nucleotide ribosomal RNA is filed under the name uncultured bacterium. RNAcentral describes it as "partial 16S ribosomal RNA". It matches the Rfam family "Bacterial small subunit ribosomal RNA", at positions 355 to 888 of the family's 1533-position model. The record is from RNAcentral.